RNAcentral lists this ribosomal RNA (407 nucleotides) under uncultured bacterium. RNAcentral describes it as "bacterial SSU rRNA". It matches the Rfam family "Bacterial small subunit ribosomal RNA", at positions 47 to 451 of the family's 1533-position model. The record is from RNAcentral.
CCUAACACAUGCAAGUCGAACGGUAACAGGAAGAAGCUUGCUUCUUUGCUGACGAGUGGCGGACGGGUGAGUAAUGUCUGGGAAACUGCCUGAUGGAGGGGGAUAACUACUGGAAACGGUAGCUAAUACCGCAUAACGUCGCAAGACCAAAGAGGGGGACCUUCGGGCCUCUUGCCAUCGGAUGUGCCCAGAUGGGAUUAGCUAGUAGGUGGGGUAACGGCUCACCUAGGCGACGAUCCCUAGCUGGUCUGAGAGGAUGACCAGCCACACUGGAACUGAGACACGGUCCAGACUCCUACGGGAGGCAGCAGUGGGGAAUAUUGCACAAUGGGCGCAAGCCUGAUGCAGCCAUGCCGCGUGUAUGAAGAAGGCCUUCGGGUUGUAAAUACUUUCAGCGGGGAGGAAGG